AAACGACUCUCGGCAAUGGAUAUCUCGGCUCACGCAUCGAUGAAGAACGUAGCAAAAUGCGAUACUUGGUGUGAAUUGCAGAAUCCCGUGAACCAUCGAGUUUUUGAACGCAAGUUGCGCCCGAAGCCAUCCGGUUGAGGGCACGCCUGCCUGGGCGUCACG
This 162-nucleotide ribosomal RNA is filed under the name Taraxacum formosissimum. RNAcentral's name for it is "5.8S ribosomal RNA". It matches the Rfam family "5.8S ribosomal RNA". From Rfam's summary of the family: 5.8S ribosomal RNA (5.8S rRNA) is a component of the large subunit of the eukaryotic ribosome. The record is from RNAcentral. Lineage: Eukaryota; Viridiplantae; Streptophyta; Magnoliopsida; Asterales; Asteraceae.